RNAcentral lists this small nuclear RNA (164 nucleotides) under Saimiri boliviensis boliviensis (Bolivian squirrel monkey). RNAcentral's name for it is "U1 spliceosomal RNA (ENSSBOG00000018383.1)". It matches the Rfam family "U1 spliceosomal RNA". Rfam says of the family: U1 is a small nuclear RNA (snRNA) component of the spliceosome (involved in pre-mRNA splicing). Its 5' end forms complementary base pairs with the 5' splice junction, thus defining the 5' donor site of an intron. The record is from Rfam by way of RNAcentral. Lineage: Eukaryota; Metazoa; Chordata; Mammalia; Primates; Cebidae.
AUACUUACCUGGCAGGGGAGAUGCCAUGAUCACAAAGGUGGUUUUCCCAGGGUGAGGCUUAUCCAUUGCACUCCGGAUGUGCUGACCCCUGCAAUUUCCCCAAAUGUGGGAAACUCGACUGCAUAGUUUGUGGUAGUGGGGGACUGCGUUUGCACUUUCCCCUG